Long non-coding RNA from Phyllopteryx taeniolatus (common seadragon), 1101 nucleotides. RefSeq lists it as uncharacterized. The record is from RefSeq and is a predicted model, not a curated record. Lineage: Eukaryota; Metazoa; Chordata; Actinopteri; Syngnathiformes; Syngnathidae. The transcript is spliced from 2 exons.
GGCGCUUAUCAACUUGUGACAAACUCACCUAGAGGUCUAUUAUAUACACAGUGUGCGUGCGGCUGCUCGCGGAAUGAGGCGAAGGGAUCCGAGCUUGUUUUCCAGGCAGCUGCGAAAAUAACAACAAAACGUCGCCGCUGUUAAGCCAACAAAGGGACACGGCGUCACAAAUUGACGACGCGCUGACGUCACACGGACUGUACAGGAACCCACGAAAAACCAAAAAUAUCCGUUCCGAAUUAAAGCCUUCUCGACGUGACGAAACACUUCCCGCUUCCGUAACACGUUUCGAAUAUUUUGACAUAUUCGGACACUAAUUUAGAGUCAAUUUAAGAAAGACGUCAACCUUUAAUUUCACAAUUUACACCCAACCCAACAAGUUUUUUUUUUUAAGAAAUUGGGUGCUUUUCACUUGUUCCUGCCAUGAAACUGCAGCAUUUCCACAAUACAGAGAACAUUUUUAAAUUACGAACCGUUUGUUAGCUUCUACAGAAAGAAAUGUUUGUCUGGGACUCCCCGUGCGCCCGAUAUUAUUACCCUGUAACAUGGGUGAGAUAAAUUGAGCUCAAGGGUUACCUUGUAAUUUUGAAAUGAACCGACGAUUCAGGGAUCCUCAUGCUGGACGGCUGUCCGUUUGGGUAGCGACGGAGGCGGCUGACACCCAGCAAGCAGCGAGUUUCACGAGCUCCCAGCUCCGUCACCUGCUCCAUAUUAGUACGCUGCUUGGCCCCAGUUGAGUCGCAGCGGACAGGUGAUGCAGCAUCUCGACUAAAGAGUACUAAGCAACGGUGUGAUAAAGUAGCUUGUAGUAUUCUCAAGAAGCAGGCUUGUAUUUCUUUUUACUCACUUUGUUUUGUGUGAACACACAAGAGCAUGUCAUCCAGAUUCCACAUUCUUCGUCGUCUCUGAUCCAAUACAAUUCCUCCUUUUACAUUGUGACCUUGAACUACGUUCUGUUCGAAAAACGUAGAUGGAAGCAAAAAAGUCAGAAAUGACAAGUUGUUACUCUAAAAGUGUUGUAUUUGAGUGAAUCUUAUGUCAUGUUCAAGCUUCGUGUUUUUAAACAAUGGUUGAUUAAAGUAGAACACAUUUUCAUCAGGA